CUCAGCCUUGCGGUGGCCGACGCCUCUCCGCCGGAGUCUCUCUUGGGAUUCUGAUGGGUAGGUGCGGUCGAAACCUAUGGGCGCGUCCUCGCAGGUCGUCCAGCGUAGCAAGUCUCUCGCUGAACGUACCGGGGAGGAAGCGCCAAUUCAAUACACGAACGCUUGGCCUCGAAUCAGGUAGGGAUACCCGCUGAACUUAA
RNAcentral lists this unclassified non-coding RNA (200 nucleotides) under soil metagenome. Its description in RNAcentral is "partial contains internal transcribed spacer 2 and large subunit ribosomal RNA". The record is from RNAcentral.